Syngnathus typhle (broad-nosed pipefish) is the source of this 1951-nucleotide long non-coding RNA. RefSeq lists it as uncharacterized. NCBI's taxonomy places the organism in Eukaryota, Metazoa, Chordata, Actinopteri, Syngnathiformes, Syngnathidae. The transcript is spliced from 3 exons. The record is from RefSeq and is a predicted model, not a curated record.
GGUGGGGGGGUCUGUUUUUGUUCUGCAUGCUUGCUAAUAGGAAGCAGACUUUAGUGGAGGUAGCCGGACAGGAGAAGAGGGUCGUGACCGCCCUCUAGUGCAUUCAUCACCAUCGUCUUUGACUGAGGCAUUGACUGACAGUGGGAAAACGAGAUGCCGGGCAAAAGGAGAGGGGCAAACAGGAGGGGUUAUCCAACUGGGGAAGCUGACGUUGCCAUGGGAACCUGACCCGAGAUUUCAUCGGCAACGGGGCCGUCACGGCUACAAGUUGCCACAAGGAUCGGACCUGGCAAGGGGGACGCAACGGAGGCCCGAUAAAUCACUUUUAGGUCGAAUUCCGUUGAGGCGCACAAACAACUCAAUUUGCUUCCUGUUCACAUUCUUGGAUUGCUCCCAGCAGGAAUAUGGCCACAAAAAGUGUGUGUGUGUGUGUGUGUGUGUGUGUCUGUGUGUGUGUAAUAGCGUACAUCUUUUAGCUUUUGUUUUAUUUUGAUCCCCCCCCAAAAAGAAAACAUCACUUGGAUUUCGUUUUUCACAUUGUAAAAUAACUAUUUUAAAUCUAUGUAAAAAAUAAUGGGUUUAUCUUUUUAAAAUUUGUUUUCGUCAAAGUUUUUGACUUCAUUUAAACUUUUAUGCUUUGAUUAGACAUAUUUUCUGAUCUUUUGUCUUUUGGAUUAUGACAAAUAGCCCAAAUUACAAAUAAAAAAACAGUACUAAUAAAACCUAGUUUACACGAAAACAAAAUUCAACUGAAAAGGAGCCGAGCGAAAAAUUACAGAAAAUUGUAUUUCCACCCAAAAAAAACAGUUUUGUCUUUUUAAGGAUUUGGCUGCAACAACGAGGCGCUCUAUUGGGGCCACGCAUAGCAUGAUAGCCUUUUCCACAUGCUUCCUGUUACGUUUGAGCUCCCCUAAAAAAAAUCCUCCUUCUUACUUAUACUGUCAUUCUCCCCAUGACAUGCACACACUCACGGCAAACAACAAGGCGCUCCCCGAAAGGAAUAUAACAUUUUGCAAGCUUUUUAACUGCGAUAACUUUUGUGUGUGCGUUGCUGCUGCCAAGUUACGUCAUUGCGCUGCAUAUUUGCUUCGACAUAUGAAGGCGGCAGAAGGGAGGUGUUGGACGAGUGACGCUACUGAUGAUCUACUGAUGAUCCAUUUUAACCCAGCGCAUCUUGUGCCCACUCUUAGUGGGGCCCACACAUUUCGCUCUGGAUUUUGACAGCACGCGCAGGAGGAGAGCGAGGAUAUUUUCUGUUCCAUUGCAGAAAGGCACACCCGCAGAAAAUGUCAACGUCCGCGCCUGCAAGUUCGAAAGGCAGCUAGCUAUGUUUUCUUACAUCUGGACUCAGUUUGGGGGACUUUCUAUUACUCACACGCGCCCGUCAAGCUAGAACAGAAACAUGCUUGCUGGUGGCUGAAGAAAGUUGAAUUCUGGAACAUUUGCCAGCAAACAUAUAUGUGGUUGUAAUAUUGGCCGAUGCAAAAGUAAUGCAGUGAACCCCAGCUUUUUUUUUUUUGCUAGUUGUACAAAACAGUACACGGGUCCAAUUUUAUGGGUAUCAGUGGGUCUAUUGUAACUGAUGCUCAUUUCAAUUCUGUAGGUAAGCGUUUCAGUUCUUGCAGGUAAAACAAGGUAUUUGGCUGUUUAAUUUAUAUUUUUGUGUAAUUUAUAUGUCUGAAGCAAGCACUCUUGGCUUCUUUUUGGAGAUGUGAAUUUGACACAUACGUAUCCGGAAAUGCAACCUUGAUUGACAGACAGCUGAACAGGUGGAUUAAAUGGAUCCAAGCGGAGUGUGAAGGAAAUUCAAGAAAACUUGGACUCUUGCGGAGCAUCUCGACCAGUCGGCCCAGUCUGCCCUCCAGCUCGCCGGACCUGAGGCAGACGGACGCCAGCUCGCCCUCCAACUCCUCCAGGACGCCCAGCGAGUGUCGGGACAGGUCCGAGAGUU